This 22-nucleotide microRNA is filed under the name Monodelphis domestica (gray short-tailed opossum). RNAcentral describes it as "mdo-miR-7302-5p". The record is from miRBase by way of RNAcentral. Lineage: Eukaryota; Metazoa; Chordata; Mammalia; Didelphimorphia; Didelphidae.
CCCUUAGCUUCUGGAAGAUAAA